CCUACGGGGGGCUGCAGUGAGGAAUAUUGGUCAAUGGACGAGAGUCUGAACCAGCCAAGUAGCGUGAAGGAUGACUGCCCUAUGGGUUGUAAACUUCUUUUAUAUGGGAAUAAAACGUUCCAAGUGUGGGAUUUUGUAUGUACCAUAUGAAUAAGGAUCGGCUAACUCCGUGCCAGCAGCCGCGGUAAUACGGAGGAUCCGAGCGUUAUCCGGAUUUAUUGGGUUUAAAGGGAGCGUAGGUGGAUUGUUAAGUCAGUUGUGAAAGUUUGCGGCUCAACCGUAAAAUUGCAGUUGAAACUGGCAGUCUUGAGUACAGUAGAGGUGGGCGGAAUUCGUGGUGUAGCGGUGAAAUGCUUAGAUAUCACGAAGAACUCCGAUUGCGAAGGCAGUUCACUGGACUGCAACUGACACUGAGGCUCGAAAGUGUGGGUAUCAAACAGGAUUAGAUACCCUUGUAGUC
This 460-nucleotide ribosomal RNA is filed under the name uncultured bacterium. RNAcentral describes it as "partial 16S ribosomal RNA". It matches the Rfam family "Bacterial small subunit ribosomal RNA", at positions 338 to 795 of the family's 1533-position model. The record is from RNAcentral.